GAUGAACGCUGGCGGCGUGCUUAACACAUGCAAGUCGAACGAAGCAUUUAGAACAGAUUACUUCGGUUUGAAGUUCUUUAUGACUGAGUGGCGGACGGGUGAGUAACGCGUGGGUAACCUGCCUUGUACUGGGGGAUAGCAGCUGGAAACGGCUGGCAAUACCGCAUAAGCGCACAAUGUUGCAUGACAUGGUGUGAAAAACUCCGGUGGUAUAAGAUGGACCCGCGUCUGAUUAGCUAGUUGGUGAGAUAACAGCCCACCAAGGCGACGAUCAGUAGCCGACCUGAGAGGGUGACCGGCCACAUUGGGACUGAGACACGGCCCAGACUCCUACGGGAAGCAGCAGUGGGGAAUAUUGCACAAUGGAGGAAACUCUGAUGCAGCGACGCCGCGUGAGUGAAGAAGUAAUUCGUUAUGUAAAGCUCUAUCAGCAGGGAAGAUAGUGACGGUACCUGACUAAGAAGCUCCGGCUAAAUACGUG
This 481-nucleotide ribosomal RNA is filed under the name uncultured bacterium. Its description in RNAcentral is "partial 16S ribosomal RNA". It matches the Rfam family "Bacterial small subunit ribosomal RNA", at positions 28 to 507 of the family's 1533-position model. The record is from RNAcentral.